AUGAAGAGCGGAAUAUUUUCAGUGCAAUCUGCCUAUUGCAAGCAAUGGGAAGUGAACUAUGAUACCGAGGAAAGCGGUUUGGCCCGCUAUUCCACGGCGCCCUGCCCAGUUUGGAAGAAUUCGUGGAAUUUGAAAGUACCAGCAAAAGUUAAAAAAAUUAUCUGGAGAUGCUUGCACAACGCCAUUUCAUGUCGGAGUACUCUGAUGAAUCGCCAUGUUGGGACUGUUUCCCAAUGCCCAUUUUGUCCAGAUGGGGUAGAGGACUUAUCUCAUAUGUUGUUCAAGUGUGCAAGAUCACAGGCAAUAUGGGAGGCUCUGGGGAUCGCACCUGAUAUUACUUUCGCUACAAUGACUGAUCGGUCAGGUUGAGCGGUCCUAGAUUUUAUUCUCUGCGAUGGUUCUUAUCGGCGAUGCUACUCUGGAAUGGUUGAAUUGUCGGAGCUUAUAUCGACAUCAUGCUGGUUUUUAUGGUGGCAAAGAAGACAGUUUGUGCGAGGGGAAGAUAUAUUGACACCAGAAAAAACAUCACCUGUUGUGGUUGCCCUAGCACUAAACUAUGUAUGUGGAACCGAAGUUAAAAUCGCACCCAAGAUAAACAAGUGGCCGGCGUUUCUCGCGGGGCAGCUAAUUCUAAAUGUGGACGCAUCAUUCACAGAGUGCGACUAUGCAGGAUCAUGUGGAGCUGUUAUGCGUGAUCACCAGGGGUCCUUCAUAACGGCAUCCACAGCGAGAUUGGAACAUGUAGCUGAUGUGUUUACGGCAGAAGCGACAUCUUUGCUCGAAGGAUUGAGGGAUACAGGAUGCUAUAACUUAGUGGUGAGAUCGGACAAUACCACGAUGGUGGAUGCACUGAACCACAAUUGA
RNAcentral lists this ribosomal RNA (864 nucleotides) under Triticum aestivum (bread wheat). RNAcentral describes it as "partial small subunit ribosomal RNA". Lineage: Eukaryota; Viridiplantae; Streptophyta; Magnoliopsida; Poales; Poaceae. The record is from RNAcentral.